RNAcentral lists this ribosomal RNA (703 nucleotides) under Klebsiella pneumoniae. RNAcentral's name for it is "bacterial SSU rRNA". It matches the Rfam family "Bacterial small subunit ribosomal RNA", at positions 27 to 721 of the family's 1533-position model. Lineage: Bacteria; Pseudomonadati; Pseudomonadota; Gammaproteobacteria; Enterobacterales; Enterobacteriaceae. The record is from RNAcentral.
GAUUGAACGCUGGCGGCAGGCCUAACACAUGCAAGUCGAGCGGUAGCACAGAGAGCUUGCUCUCGGGUGACGAGCGGCGGACGGGUGAGUAAUGUCUGGGAAACUGCCUGAUGGAGGGGGAUAACUACUGGAAACGGUAGCUAAUACCGCAUAACGUCGCAAGACCAAAGUGGGGGACCUUCGGGCCUCAUGCCAUCAGAUGUGCCCAGAUGGGAUUAGCUAGUAGGUGGGGUAACGGCUCACCUAGGCGACGAUCCCUAGCUGGUCUGAGAGGAUGACCAGCCACACUGGAACUGAGACACGGUCCAGACUCCUACGGGAGGCAGCAGUGGGGAAUAUUGCACAAUGGGCGCAAGCCUGAUGCAGCCAUGCCGCGUGUGUGAAGAAGGCCUUCGGGUUGUAAAGCACUUUCAGCGGGGAGGAAGGCGUUAAGGUUAAUAACCUUGUCGAUUGACGUUACCCGCAGAAGAAGCACCGGCUAACUCCGUGCCAGCAGCCGCGGUAAUACGGAGGGUGCAAGCGUUAAUCGGAAUUACUGGGCGUAAAGCGCACGCAGGCGGUCUGUCAAGUCGGAUGUGAAAUCCCCGGGCUCAACCUGGGAACUGCAUUCGAAACUGGCAGGCUAGAGUCUUGUAGAGGGGGGUAGAAUUCCAGGUGUAGCGGUGAAAUGCGUAGAGAUCUGGAGGAAUACCGGUGGCGAAGG